Molecule: ribosomal RNA, 373 nt
Filed under: Solenocera vioscai
Lineage: Eukaryota; Metazoa; Arthropoda; Malacostraca; Decapoda; Solenoceridae
Description: partial 16S ribosomal RNA
Rfam family: Bacterial large subunit ribosomal RNA
Source: RNAcentral
AUAAUCAUUAGUCUUUUAAUUGGAGGCUUGUAUGAAUGGUUGGACAAAAAGUUAACUGUCUCAUUUAUAUUAAUUGAAUUUAACUUUUAAGUGAAAAGGCUUAAAUAUACUGGGGGGACGAUAAGACCCUAUAAAGCUUUACAAUAAGUUGGUUGAAUUAUAAAUUGUUAGUUUAACUUAAUUUAAUUGGUGUUUGUUUCGUUGGGGCGACGAGAAUAUAAUAAUAUAACUGUUCUUUUGAAAAUUUAACAAAGUUGAUUGGAUAAUAAUUGAUCCUUUAAUAAAGAUUAAAAGAUUAAGUUACUUUAGGGAUAACAGCGUAAUCUUCUUUGAGAGUCCAUAUCGACAAGAAGGGUUGCGACCUCGAUGUUGA